This 2027-nucleotide long non-coding RNA is filed under the name Triticum aestivum (bread wheat). RNAcentral's name for it is "long non-coding RNA (TAES_LNC017170)". The stretch from base 1666 to 1780 matches the Rfam family "MIR1120/MIR1122 microRNA precursor family". The record is from RNAcentral. Lineage: Eukaryota; Viridiplantae; Streptophyta; Magnoliopsida; Poales; Poaceae.
CAUGAACUGAAUCUGUCUUUGUGUGGGUGUAGCCAUGAAUAAAAAUGUGUAACAGUGAAAUGAAUAUCGUAUGUAAUACCGAUGAACGAUGAUGGUGGGUGUUGUGACCCGGUGUUUGCCGGGUUCGUCCGUCGUAUUGUGUCUGUGCAAAAGAGAAAAUAAAAGACAGUUAGUUGGUUAAUCUUUGCUGUGAAAAUAAAAGACAGUCUGAUAGAAGCUUUGAUGAUCCAUUUUGUUUGGCUUUCCUGCCACUGUUGUGGCAUAAUUUCAGAUAUGGUAAUUUCAGAUCAGGAGAUUUUUCUGCUGUUAAAAAAUUCAAACAGGAAGGCCAAAAAAAAAAGAUUUGGGAGUCUGUCAGACAACCUCCUCUGGGCCACCCUGCACAGGUGUGAGCCAGGCAGGAACGAUCCUCUACAGCCGUCGGAUUGCCUCCAUCAGAGGAAUCCUGGACGUUAAUCACGCUCUGGCCCAGAGGGCAGAGGUCAUCAACCAGACUGAAGUGCUUGCCUCCUUAUUGGUAAAGGAUGCAGCGGUACGAGCCUAUAGAACAGAUCCUGUUCAAGUAAGGUCGUGCUACGAGCUGCAGCGCCUCGCCUUAUAAACCGGUGCCGCUCCCCGCGAACUAGCGAGGUGGGACUAAUGUAAAGGAGCGCGCAGCAGCGCAGCGCAUCGCCUCCUCUCGGUCGCAGGCUCGCAGCUUAGGACUCGUGGGGUGCUGGGCCAUGUGGUUGGGCUGAAGAGGACACGCGGCGCGGCCCAUCUGAGUGAGAUAAUACUUGUCCUGUACGGCUUUUCUUUCCUGUGAUUUUGAAUUUCUUUUUCCUUUCCUGUAUCGCAGUUGCAUCAGAUUUGCAUUUACACCUAAAAAAAACAGUUUUUCAUUUUUCUUCCCUGUGAUGUUUAUUUUUUGUCAACCUGCGAACACUAAGUUGUUUUCGCAAUAUACUCGUAUUUUCUUGUUAGUUCAUCCAUUACUAUUAAAUAUUAUAUAAUGAAAACACCCAUGCGGCAUUUUCUGGAAUACAAUUAAAAGCGUCCACGGAAAAAUCCCACAGAUAUUUAUCCAAUAAAAAAAAGAGUUCCGUACACAAUCAAGUAAAGAAAAGUCGUUAAUUACUUGUCACAAAAAUGGAUGUAUCUACAACUAAAAUACAUCUAGAUACAUAUAUUUCUUGGACGAGUAGUUCCGAACGGAGGGAGUACCUUUGUUGUGCACUUUUGUUGCAUUUCCAGCGCUCAUUUUCGAAGUAUUGUCCAACCUCGGCUCAGCCUCACCUUCUUGCUGCAUGUUCAUCAGGGAAUAAUCACUGAACUUGCUGACCCUUGCAUAAAAAACCAACAGACAAUCUAGAAAAACAGCCACCUGCUCUUCCCUUCUCCAUUCUCAACUUGCCUUUUCUCCCCGCGGGCAGAAGGCAUAGACAAGCUUAUCCUUGGGUUUCAACACCAUGCAUGGAUAUCACACACAGGAAAAGGUUGGUGCUGCUAUUAAACAGGUGCAUCGCUAUUUCUGUACAGUUAAUAAUUCAGUAAUGGAGCUGUCACUCACAUAACUCACCAAAUGUGGAUAGACAUAGUUGAUCCGCAAGUAGUUGGCAAGCAGUUGAUCUUCUCUUUUCUAUUCAUUCCCAGUUGGCAGCAACUGACCAUGCACUGCCAUACUGCUAUGUACUCCCUCUGUUCGGAAUUACUCGUCGAAGAAAUGAAUGUACCUAGAUGUAUUUUAGUCGUAGAUACAUUCAUUUUUAUGACAAUUAAUUCCGAACGGAGGAAGUACUUAUGUAUACCUGGAUCAUAUGAACACACACUGGAACCAACCAAUGUUUUUACCAAUGCUGUUUGCGGUAUGACGCGUCCCGGCUCAAGAUUAAGCCGAACAUAUAGAUGUGCAAGGAGGGUGCAGCCAUGGUUGGUGUCGAUCGAGCGGGCCAAGGAGGGUGCAGCAUGAACUGAAUCUGUCCUGCGUGGGUGUAGCCAUGAAUAAAAAUGUGUAACAGUGAAAUGAAUAUCGUAUGUAAUACCGAUGA